GAUGAACGCUGGCGGCGUGCCUAAUACAUGCAAGUCGAGCGAACAGACGAGGAGCUUGCUCCUCUGACGUUAGCGGCGGACGGGUGAGUAACACGUGGAUAACCUACCUAUAAGACUGGGAUAACUUCGGGAAACCGGAGCUAAUACCGGAUAAUAUAUUGAACAGCAUGGUUCAAUAGUGAAAGACGGUUUUGCUGUCACUUAUAGAUGGAUCCGCGCCGCAUUAGCUAGUUGGUAAGGUAACGGCUUACCAAGGCGACGAUGCGUAGCCGACCUGAGAGGGUGAUCGGCCACACUGGAACUGAGACACGGUCCAGACUCCUACGGGAGGCAGCAGUAGGGAAUCUUCCGCAAUGGGCGAAAGCCUGACGGAGCAACGCCGCGUGAGUGAUGAAGGUCUUCGGUUCGUAAAACUCUGUUAUUAGGGAAGAACAAAUGUGUAAGUAACUAUGCACGUCUUGACGGUACCUAAUCAGAAAGCCACGGCUAACUACGUG
This 497-nucleotide ribosomal RNA is filed under the name uncultured bacterium. Its description in RNAcentral is "partial 16S ribosomal RNA". It matches the Rfam family "Bacterial small subunit ribosomal RNA", at positions 28 to 507 of the family's 1533-position model. The record is from RNAcentral.